This is a long non-coding RNA of Alligator sinensis (Chinese alligator), 776 nucleotides long. RefSeq lists it as uncharacterized. The transcript has 4 exons. Lineage: Eukaryota; Metazoa; Chordata; Crocodylia; Alligatoridae. The record is from RefSeq and is a predicted model, not a curated record.
GGAGGCCAUUGCCAAAAGAAGGUUAUUAGACUACAUGGACAAAUAGUCUUUUCUGCGUCUGUACAACAGCUGAGGCAUAGGCUGACAUUCUGCAUCUAAAGGAAAGGAGGUUACAAGAAAUGGGCAGCAAAUAGCCAAAGAACAAAAACCUGAAGAAGCAAAGAACUAAAAAGGAGCAGCAAGCAUCAUGAUUGGCAGCUGGGAGCACCGCCUAGCCAUUUAACACCCUCUGGAGCUCGGGUUUGUAGGCCAGUCAACAGUUCUGCUGUGGCAGGAUUUGAAGCCAGAAUUCAAAAGAAGAAGUUUGGAAAACAGCAACGCACAAGGUUAUAAAACAUCACAACAUGCAAUGUAAAGGAAAUCUUUUCUCAUUCCCCUCUUUCUCUUUUCUUCAUCUUACACAAACCUUUAUGAGGAAAAGUGAGUACCCAUCAUCCAUUGUUUUGCCAUCAUUAAAUUAAAAUGCUUUUAAGAAACACUACUUGGACAAACCAAACCAAAUUAACCUGCUAAUUACACAUGCCGUGAAUGCAUGUACUACAUUAUGCUUCCAUUUGCUAUGAAAAAAAAAUGCAAUGUCAAUCCCCAGACAGGCAAGUACAGAGGUAAUGCAGCUUUACUUUGGUGUAUUUCCUUGAGCUGCAAGGGGACAAAUAACAUGCAGUUCUGUGCAUAAGCACUUGAGGGAUACAGUCCUUCCUUUUCUGUAAUAAAACAGUUACAUAUUCUGAGAUGCAUCAAAAGCUCCUAUCUACUUGCAGUUAAUCAAAUGUUCU